This is a regulatory RNA element of Paenibacillus sp. FSL H7-0357, 81 nucleotides long. It matches the Rfam family "c-di-GMP-I-GGC riboswitch aptamer". NCBI's taxonomy places the organism in Bacteria, Bacillati, Bacillota, Bacilli, Caryophanales, Paenibacillaceae. The record is from Rfam.
AACGACAAAGGCAAACCUAAUCGAAAGAUAGGGACGCAAAGCCAUAGGGCCUUCGCAAGAGUGGCAGCCUGGCUACCGAAA